GAUGAACGCUGGCGGCGUGCCUAAUACAUGCAAGUCGAACGAAGAUCUAGCUUGCUAGAUCUUAGUGGCGAACGGGUGAGUAAUACAUAAAUAAUCUGCCCAUAUGACUGGGAUAACUAUUGGAAACGAUAGCUAAUACCGGAUAGGUUGAUCGGAGGCAUCUCUGAUGAAUUAAAGUAGGAUUUCUACACAAAUGGAUGAGUUUAUGGCGCAUUAGUUAGUUGGUGGGGUAACGGCCUACCAAGACGAUGAUGCGUAGCCGACCUGAGAGGGUGACCGGCCACACUGGGACUGAGAAACGGCCCAGACUCCUACGGGAGGCAGCAGUAGGGAAUUUUCGGCAAUGGGCGCAAGCCUGACCGAGCAACGCCGCGUGAGUGAUUAAGACCUUCGGGUUGUAAAGCUCUGUUGUAAGGGAAGAACAUUCAGGAUAGGAAACGAUCUUGAACUGACGGUACCUUACCAGAAAGCCACGGCUAACUACGUGCCAGCAGCCGCCGUAA
Molecule: ribosomal RNA, 503 nt
Filed under: uncultured bacterium
Lineage: Bacteria
Description: partial 16S ribosomal RNA
Rfam family: Bacterial small subunit ribosomal RNA
Source: RNAcentral